GUGGGGAUUAGUGGCGAACGGGUGAGUAACACGUGGGCAAUCUGCCCUGCACUCUGGGACAAGCCCUGGAAACGGGGUCUAAUACCGGAUACUGAUCCUCGCAGGCAUCUGCGAGGUUCGAAAGCUCCGGCGGUGCAGGAUGAGCCCGCGGCCUAUCAGCUUGUUGGUGAGGUAACGGCUCACCAAGGCGACGACGGGUAGCCGGCCUGAGAGGGCGACCGGCCACACUGGGACUGAGACACGGCCCAGACUCCUACGGGAGGCAGCAGUGGGGAAUAUUGCACAAUGGGCGAAAGCCUGAUGCAGCGACGCCGCGUGAGGGAUGACGGCCUUCGGGUUGUAAACCUCUUUCAGCAGGGAAGAAGCGAAAGUGACGGUACCUGCAGAAGAAGCGCCGGCUAACUACGUGCCAGCAGCCGCGGUAAUACGUAGGGCGCAAGCGUUGUCCGGAAUUAUUGGGCGUAAAGAGCUCGUAGGCGGCUUGUCACGUCGGUUGUGAAAGCCCGGGGCUUAACCCCGGGUCUGCAGUCGAUACGGGCAGGCUAGAGUUCGGUAGGGGAGAUCGGAAUUCCUGGUGUAGCGGUGAAAUGCGCAGAUAUCAGGAGGAACACCGGUGGCGAAGGCGGAUCUCUGGGCCGAUACUGACGCUGAGGAGCGAAAGCGUGGGGAGCGAACAGGAUUAGAUACCCUGGUAGUCCACGCCGUAAACGGUGGGCACUAGGUGUGGGCAACAUUCC
Molecule: ribosomal RNA, 737 nt
Filed under: Actinomycetes bacterium
Lineage: Bacteria; Bacillati; Actinomycetota; Actinomycetes
Description: bacterial SSU rRNA
Rfam family: Bacterial small subunit ribosomal RNA
Source: RNAcentral